This 1692-nucleotide long non-coding RNA is filed under the name Canis lupus familiaris (dog). RNAcentral's name for it is "lncRNA (ENSCAFG00030017557.1)". Lineage: Eukaryota; Metazoa; Chordata; Mammalia; Carnivora; Canidae. The record is from RNAcentral.
AUGCCGCACAGGGGCUGUUGGAGAAAUGGGGUGUCCGACAUAGGAAGUGAUAGAGCCCCAACACCUCCCUGGCCUUCUGGACAAAUGAGAGAGCAAGGCUGGGGGACCCUCAGGGCAGGCUUCCCAGGGGAGGUGGGCCGGGGAGGGGGGCAGAGUCCACUGGGGGUGGGCGUGGGAGGUGCAGCCAGCUACCCCCCCCCUCCAAGGCCAUCCCCAGGUGAGCUCAGCCAAGCCACUGGCUCUGUCAUGCCUUUUAAGGCAAUGGUGGCUCCCGCCACCUCCUUGUUCCCACUUGCUCAGAAAUUCCCAGCAGGUAUUUUUUCUUUUUCUUUUCUUUUUUUUUUUUUUUUCAUGAGGAUUGGAAUGAGACUCCUUGUUCUGUCACCGCAGGAUUCCAGGGAGGCCUGUCUGAGGGUUCUGGUGACAGGAAGCGCACAGCGACAGGCAGUCAGAGAAGCACCCUCAGUGACAUGUGCAGGCACAGAUCGCGGGAGGCAGAGAUGGCUGCCCCACCCACCAGGGGCCCACAGCAAUGCCUGGGGACCCCGAGACGCAGGGAACGUUUACUGAGCACCUACCAUAUCCCACGCCUGUGGGGUCCCGCCUUCACAGACCCACCUCCUUUGGGAGUUCAGAUCGGAGCAUGGAAGCCCCCUCCAUCUCAGGGCCUUUAUACCUGCUGUUCUGCUCUGGGGGGGCGGGGAUCUCUCUGCAGGGGUCUCUCUGCAGCGCUUGCUGUGCAGCACUCGCUCACUCAGGCUGGAUCCUUUAUGCUCUCAGAGCAGCCUCCCCCAUGCCCAUCACUGUAGCCCAUUGGCCUGUUUUAGUUCCUCACAGCCUCCAUCACUUAUUAUUUUAUUUUAUUUUAUUUGACAGAGAGAGAGAGCUGGCACCGAGCAGGGAGGAGGAUCAGAAAGGUACAAGCAGACUCCCCACUGAGCAGCCUGACACAGGGCUCAAUCCCAGGAUCCCAGGAUCAUCACCUGAGCUGGAGGCAGAUUGAGCCACCCAGGCGCCCUGCACCCUCACUUCUGAAACUGUCUUGUUUAUUGGUGUUUGCUGUCUGCACACCCACCUGGAUCAGCUUCUGGAGAGAAGGUUGUUGUGUCUGCCCUGCUCCCUCAGGGCCUGGAGGAGGGCUGUGUCCGUAGUAGGUGCUCAGGAUUUCAGUGAGUGCCUCUGACCCCACACAUGGGUGGUUGGCCUUUCCCACUGCCCCCCAGGAAGCCCUAUUAUUUGUCCUAACAACCCCAGCUGUUCUGUGCAACCACUGAAGCGGUCUUGCUCACUUGGUCCCACUGUCAUCACUGAGGAGGAGAGUCCCCAGCCGAUGAGGCUGAGGCCUGGAACUGCUGUGGGAUGUGCUCAAGGUCACUCACCGGCCAGGGGCAGGCAGAGAUCAAGAGGAUGGGAAUGGGAGGGGAUGGCCAACAGCCAAGGGCUCAGCACCUAUCAGGUAAGCCUGUCCCUGAAAAGGGCUUUCUGUGUGUCACAUGUGCGGGGACACAGAGGGUGUGGUGACCCCCAUCACCUGGAGGUGUAUCUGUGAUGCCAGAUGCCUGUGUACACGUCCUCAGCCGCAGAGCACACAGAGUAUUCUUUCCGGGCCUUAGGGGCGAGCCUUUGUUCGCUGGACCCCACAUCCCAUCAUUCUGGCCAUGCCCACAACUGAGCAGAGCCCUGGACAGGGAG